GGUAUUUUGACCGUGCUAAGGUAGCANAAUCAUUUGGUUUUNAAUUGAUAACUGGAAUGAAAGGUUGCUCUUAUUUUAAUUUUUGUAAAACUNAAAUAAUAAAUNAAAGUNAGGGUAAGAAUUCUUUAAUUUUCNAGGGGACGAUAAGACCCNAGAAGCUUAAUAUAGAGUUGUACUUANAGAAAAAGUUGAUUAUUUAUUUUACUGGGGCGGUAGGAGUAAACUUACUAUUUGCUNAAAAAAGAUCUUUAAAAUUAAGANAAUUGGGAUUAGUUACUCUAGGGAUAACAGUGCAAUUUUUUNAGAAAGACCUUAUUGAUGAANAAGUUUGCAACCUCGAUGUUGAAUUAAGAUGUCUAAGUGAGGUAAAAGGUACUAAAGAAAGGUUUGUUCAACCUUUAAAGUCUUACAUGAUCNGAGUUCAAACCGGA
RNAcentral lists this ribosomal RNA (431 nucleotides) under Gammarus desperatus (Bitter Lakes amphipod). Its description in RNAcentral is "partial 16S ribosomal RNA". The stretch from base 134 to 431 matches the Rfam family "Bacterial large subunit ribosomal RNA", at positions 2073 to 2620 of the family's 2925-position model. The record is from RNAcentral. Lineage: Eukaryota; Metazoa; Arthropoda; Malacostraca; Amphipoda; Gammaridae.